RNAcentral lists this small nuclear RNA (103 nucleotides) under Catagonus wagneri (Chacoan peccary). The record is from RNAcentral. Lineage: Eukaryota; Metazoa; Chordata; Mammalia; Artiodactyla; Tayassuidae.
AAGAACAACUUACCCAUAUACUAAAAUUGGAAUGACACAGAGAAGACUAGCAUGGCCCCUGUGCAAGGACGACGCACAAAUUCGUGAAACGUUCCAUAUUUUU